Molecule: ribosomal RNA, 496 nt
Filed under: uncultured bacterium
Lineage: Bacteria
Description: partial 16S ribosomal RNA
Rfam family: Bacterial small subunit ribosomal RNA
Source: RNAcentral
AUGAACGCUGGCGGCGUGCCUAAUACAUGCAAGUCGCGCGAACAGACGAGGAGCUUGCUCCUCUGACGUUAGCGGCGGACGGGUGAGUAACACGUGGAUAACCUACCUAUAAGACUGGGGUAACUUCGGGAAACCGGAGCUAAUACCGGAGAAUAUAUUGAACCGCAUGGUUCAAUAGUGAAAGACGGUUUUGCUGUCACUUAUAGAUGGAUCCGCGCCGCAUUAGCUAGUUGGUAAGGUAACGGCUUACCAAGGCAACGAUGCGUAGCCGACCUGAGAGGGUGAUCGGCCACACUGGAACUGAGACACGGUCCAGACUCCUACGGGAGGCAGCAGUAGGGAAUCUUCCGCAAUGGGCGAAAGCCUGACGGAGCAACGCCGCGUGAGUGAUGAAGGUCUUCGGAUCGUAAAACUCUGUUAUUAGGGAAGAACAAAUGUGUAAGUAACUAUGCACGUCUUGACGGUACCUAAUCAGAAAGCCACGGCUAACUACGUG